AAUCUCGAAAUUUUCUCCGCUCUCCUUUCUGAGCUCGUUCUCUUCAUCUCGUUUCUCUUCAGUUAAACCCUAACCCUAAUCCUCGGCGGGCGUACACCAGGAGCCCAAAUCCGAUUCACCGAGGACCUCAUCAGCGAUAUCGAAGGGGAGCAAUCUGAGAUUCUCGGAGGGAUUGAGGGUUUAGGGCAUCAUGCCUCCAGUGACUUACCAUAAGUGCUUGGGUUGUUGAGGAUGUCUCCAAGAGCACCAUAUGUGUUGCCAUAUACAAAAAUUGCCCCUGGGUGAUCAGUGUUCAGCUGUUGGACCAGUGAUCUCAGUCCCACAUUGAAGAGACCAACCAUCUGAUUUACCUGAUCAACACAUCGGUCAGCUGGGGUGAGCCCAGAGGCCCGUUGGUUGGGGAUGCAUCCUAGGGGCCCCACUCCUGCCAGGACAAACUUCCUUAGACCUACGCUGUAUAGUGCCUGCAAGAAAGAACAGCUUGGAGACAAUUGAAGACAUCCUACUAUAAUGCAGGUAUAUCUUGAUAGAAUUAGGCGACAUGUUUGUUACAAUGUUUUAAGGCACUGUUCUUAAAGAUGUUCCUCAGAUAUUUACUUUCUGUGCAAAUUUGUUUAUCCUGUUAGAUUUGAAGUAGGUAGUUUGUACCCAAUUUUAUCCAUUAUGACUUGGAACCAGCCAUAUGAUCGCAUUGUUAGUCCAUAAAACAUUGCUAGCUGAAAUGACAUGCAUUCUGUCGCAUGACUAAUAAAUAGCUGGAUCACAUUGUUUUUCAA
This is a non-coding RNA of Phoenix dactylifera (date palm), 776 nucleotides long. The record is from RefSeq and is a predicted model, not a curated record. NCBI's taxonomy places the organism in Eukaryota, Viridiplantae, Streptophyta, Magnoliopsida, Arecales, Arecaceae.